UUAAAGGGAGCGUAGAUGGAUGUUUAAGUCAGUUGUGAAAGUUUGCGGCUCAACCGUAAAAUUGCAGUUGAUACUGGAUAUCUUGAGUGCAGUUGAGGCAGGCGGAAUUCGUGGUGUAGCGGUGAAAUGCUUAGAUAUCACGAAGAACUCCGAUUGCGAAGGCAGCCUGCUAAGCUGCAACUGA
RNAcentral lists this ribosomal RNA (184 nucleotides) under Phocaeicola vulgatus. RNAcentral describes it as "partial 16S ribosomal RNA". It matches the Rfam family "Bacterial small subunit ribosomal RNA", at positions 561 to 743 of the family's 1533-position model. The record is from RNAcentral. Lineage: Bacteria; Pseudomonadati; Bacteroidota; Bacteroidia; Bacteroidales; Bacteroidaceae.